This 3547-nucleotide long non-coding RNA is filed under the name Felis catus (domestic cat). RNAcentral's name for it is "lncRNA (ENSFCAG00000047175.1)". The record is from RNAcentral. Lineage: Eukaryota; Metazoa; Chordata; Mammalia; Carnivora; Felidae.
GCGCUUACCGCAAGGUUCCGCCCCUCGGCGGGCGCAGACAAUGGGGUCGCUGUGCCCGGCCGCCCCCUCCCCUCGCUCGGCGGCCCGCGCCCGCCCCCUCUCCCCAAAGCUGCUUUCAAUUUAAACGCCUCCAACCAGCGGGCGCUGCCCCGGGGGGCGCGACCGCAGCGCCGAGCGCCCCUGUAAUUUCCGCGGGGAGCUGACCGGCUCAAACACGGCCCCGCGGUGCCCCGACCGCAGGCCCCGAGACCGGAGACGGCGCCCAGACAGCCUUGCCCGGGUCGUGGGAGCGCCGCUGGGGCGGCCUCCUCGCGCGGCGCCCCGCCGCCUCCUCCAGGCAGCCCACCGCCACCCCGGGGAGCCGCUCCUCCGGGAAGCCUGCGUGCCUUCCCCAAAGUGAUGCUCCCUUGGGGCCCCUCACACCUCUGCAAGCUCAGCCCCCUUUGGGGGAGCGGGGAGGAGACGACGGGGUCAGGAGUGUCCGUUCUCUUAAUGUGCACUGUGUCUCCCGCAUCAGACUGGAGGCGACCUGAGGGCAGGGGUUCUUUCUUUGCAGACUGGGGGAACGUGAGUGAACUGACCUAUAGUUCCUGCUUGGCCUGCUGAGAAACUGGGAAGAAGGCCCUGCCUGAAUGGUCUCAGAGGAGUGGGUGGGUGUGGACACAGUGAAUUUGCCUGCAGAUCCCCUGGCUGUACCCAGGCGGGGCCAAAAGGGUAGCUGCACGCGAGGAAGAAUUUUCCGAGUGCUGGUUAAGAGGCUCCAAGGACUUGUCCAGGUUGGGCCCUGAGUGGUGCCGGUGAACAUACGUGCCAAGGCUCCCUUCUGGCCUAAAGCACUUCCUCUGUGCCCUGCUGCUUUCUGCCUAGAAGUUGUGCCCACCUACCCUCCCUCCCCAGAACUUUGGAGGGGACGUGUUUUGCUAGUACAUGAGGCGUGGCUGUUGUGGUGAGGCUAAUCAGAAGUAAUUAUGGGGGAAGGAGGGAUCCUCAGAGGGACCCCACAAAGACCACCUCAUCCGCCCUGGCCCAGCCCUGGUGGCCCUGGCCCCCAGGGCCUAAGCCUGGCUCAGCUCUGCCUGGUGAGGCUGAACCCACCAACACCACCCCUGCCCACUGCUCCCCCGCCAACCCCAGCCCCUGGAGCCACGGGGAAGCUUUGCCUCAAUCUCCCCGAAGCUGUUCCGUCCUCAUUCAUUCAGCCCACAUUCACUGGGCUUCUCCUCCAGGCCAGGGCCCGUGCUGGCACAGGAAGUAGACCGGUCCCUGCCCUCAUGGAGCAGCUCCUGGGACUCAGAGGAACACAAGCCGCCUGUGCCCAAGAGAUUUCCAAGCAUAAACGGAGGUCAAUGCCCCCCUCGCCUGCCCCGGAGGUGCCAAGGUGGUAAUUAGGCUUGGGGGUGGGUCCUGGAAGGGUGGGGGUGGCGUGGCCAUUAUCCCCAGGAGCUGAGCUGGGCAGGAGCUGUGUGGUCCAGGCAAAUGGGUGGUUUGUAGGUGGUCUGGAGAAUGAAUGAGUGAGUGUUUGGGAGGGAGGCCGGUGGGGAGGGAGCGGGGCGGGGUGGGGGUAGGGUGUGGGGAGGCAGCAGACAGAUUGGAGAGCAAAGCUGGGUAGUCGAGCCCUGGACUCACUGGUCUGGGCCCCUGCCCAUGCUCUGAGGCAUCAGCAAAGAGAGGACCGUGAGGCAGAUGGUGGGUCCCAGGGAAGCUUGCCCCUGGGCUGCUUCAGGAGGGGUGAGGGGAGAUGGGUGGAGGCCAUUCAGUGCAGCGUCCUUGGCAUGCGGUGGGGCGCUGGCCUGUGGCCCCUCCGUCCCCAUUCCCAGCCCAUGCCUAAUCCCUCUCCCCGUAGGGAAAAAUUCCUUGUUGGGCUGAGAAGGUCCUUCGAUUGGACCCCUGUCCCCGUCUCAACCUCAUGGGGGCUCUAGGUCCCCAAGAAGAUCUCUCUCUCUGACCCCCAGGAUCCUCUCACCCGCUCCUUCUCCAUAUCCGGCUGCACAAGGUAGACUGUAUCAGUUGACCUCAUCGCCCUGAGCCUUGGUUUCCUUACCUGUAAAAUGCGAGUAAUACAGCAUUUAACUGUGCAGAUGAAAUAAGCCAGUCCAAGGCCAGUGUUCCUAAAAUGGCAGUCUCAGCAAUGACUAAUGGCCCACAAGAUGCCCCGCUUGUCAGGAGGCCAGGGCUCCUCCCGGGAAGGGGUACCUAAAACCCAGGACUUGGCCGUGACCCCCGGUAUGGGGACCAGGACCCAGGCGGGCCGGCAGUGGUGUGAGCAGGUCACGGGGAAGGGGUGGGGUUGAUGGGACUGUCGGGUGGCAUCCUGCCUGGCCCCAGGCACAUUCCUCCUCCCCCGCUGCUCUCCCCACCUGCUGGCUGCCACCUGAACAGCUCACCUGGCCUCUGGAGCAAGAGAGAGUGCAGUGAGACGACCAUACAGGGCUCCUCCGAGGAGAGGAAUGAACUGAGGGCACGGGUGUGACCGGGACCGCCUGCUGAGGCUCCCUAGCUGCUGCCCUACAUGGAGGGGCUAAGCAUCUAAGUCCCGGUUUCAAUCCCAACACCCGGGGAGUAUCCUUCCCACAGGGGCUAGGCCAGACUGGGGGGGGGGGGGGCUCCCAGAGGCAGGAGUUGGGCUCUUACCAUCAGGUGGGAGGAUUCGUGAAGGGAGAGCUUAUCCUAACCUGGGCCCAAGGGGGCUAGGCUGGGGUUGGAUGGGUCAGCCUGGCACCUUCACGGGGUCAGCAGUCUCACCCCACUCCUUGCUCAGACCCCAAAUUCUCUACUAAUGGGAAAGUCCCCGGGGGAGCUGGAGAGCUUUGGAAAACCUGGGGAACGGCCCGCUGCCCUGUGAUCUGGAAACCGGUGAGGUAGGGGAGGGCCGUGUGUGUGCGCGCGCGCGCGCGCAGGCAGUCUCUGGAUCAGGGUCAUUCCCAAAUCAAUCUCCCUCCUCCUUUCCCUCCUUAAAUCCACGCAGGCUAACCCCUUCUCUCCCUCUGUUCUCUGCGCCGCCCCCCCCCCCCCCGCCCAGAAUCCUUGGCAUUUAUUGGUAGGGGUGCCACCAAGGGAGAAAGACGGCAACCUUCCUCCCUCUGACCUGCGGUCAGGCCAACCGAGCAGCCUGCAGGGGGCAGGCUGGGGUGGUUGGGACCAUGUGGCAGGGGGUGGGAUGCCGAUGACAUUCACAGCUUCCAGACACCGGCACCCAGUCUCCUAUCAGGACCUCUCCACUCUAUCCAAAUAUGGAUCGCUGGAGGGGUGGGGGGGACGUUUGAGAGAUCAGGGAGGAGGAGAGCUGAGCCAAAUGGAUUCUGGAAGGAUUCUGAGGCACUUCGGAAGUAUCUGUUGGGAGUCAUUCAGCCUGAGAGCGGACAGAGCCUGGGCAGAGGGACAAGCAGAAGACCAUCUCGCCCACCCCUGGCUUCCUCGCCAAACCUCACUAAUACCUCUCGGAGAAGGUCUCCUGAUUUAAGGUCUACGUCCACGAGUAUUCAAUGCAGCGGGCUCCACAUCCCCACCACAAAAAUAAAAACACUUCUGGGGGCGCCUAGGUGGCUCA